RNAcentral lists this long non-coding RNA (211 nucleotides) under Elaeis guineensis (African oil palm). RNAcentral's name for it is "long non-coding RNA (EGUI_LNC011521)". Lineage: Eukaryota; Viridiplantae; Streptophyta; Magnoliopsida; Arecales; Arecaceae. The record is from RNAcentral.
CGAAUACAUUUAAUGCAUGUCAAAAUCUAUUUUUCAAUUUUAACGUGACGAAAAUACCCUUUCCCUUUAAGAUGACUUUUUUACUAUCUUGCUGUCUGGUUGGAUAUUUCGAAUAUUACUCUUCUCUCUUUUCUUUCUCGAUUUGUUGAGCUUCUAUCCAUCCAAGAAAAAAAUUUUCUGUCACAAUUCUGCAUUCGAUGCUCUAGAGGUU